GUCCUUAUGGUCGAGUGGUUAGGGCGCGAGUCUUAUAUCACUAUGGUGCUGGGUUCGAUUCCCAGUGAGGUCA
Molecule: non-coding RNA, 73 nt
Organism: Globomyces sp. JEL0801
Lineage: Eukaryota; Fungi; Chytridiomycota; Chytridiomycetes; Rhizophydiales; Globomycetaceae
Source: the annotation of a GenBank genome assembly